UACAGAGGUGGCAAGCGUUGUUCGGAAUUACUGGGCGUAAAGGGCGCGUAGGCGGCCAUCUAAGUCAGACGUGAAAUCCCCCGGCUUAACCUGGGAACUGCGUCUGAUACUGGACGGCUUGAGUAUGGGAGAGGGAUGUAGAAUUCCAGGUGUAGCGGUGAAAUGCGUAGAUAUCUGGAGGAAUACCGGUGGCGAAGGCGGCAUCCUGGACCAAUACUGACGCUGAGGCGCGAAAGCUAGGGGAGCAAACGGG
RNAcentral lists this ribosomal RNA (253 nucleotides) under uncultured bacterium. RNAcentral's name for it is "partial 16S ribosomal RNA". It matches the Rfam family "Bacterial small subunit ribosomal RNA", at positions 524 to 776 of the family's 1533-position model. The record is from RNAcentral.